This 375-nucleotide ribosomal RNA is filed under the name uncultured bacterium. Its description in RNAcentral is "bacterial SSU rRNA". It matches the Rfam family "Bacterial small subunit ribosomal RNA", at positions 524 to 898 of the family's 1533-position model. The record is from RNAcentral.
CACGGGGGUUGCGAGCGUUGUCCGGAAUUACUAGGCGUAAAGGGCAGGUAGGCGGAUCUACGAGUUUUUUGUUAAAGGCAACGGCUCAACUGUAGCAAGGCAGGAGAUACUGUAGGUCUGGAAUGCGGUAGGGGAAGACAGAAUUCCUGGUGUAGCGGUGGAAUGCGCAGAGAUCAGGAGGAAUACCGAAGGCGAAGGCAGUCUUCUAGGCCGUAAUUGACGCUUAACUGCGAAGGUGUGGGGAUCAAACAGGAUUAGAUACCCUGGUAGUCCACACAGUAAACGAUAAUCACUAGAUGUCGGGUUCUAGAUGGAUUCGGUGUCGGAGCCAACGCGAUAAGUGAUUCGCCUGGGGAGUACGAUCGCAAGGUUGAA